This 233-nucleotide long non-coding RNA is filed under the name Elaeis guineensis (African oil palm). RNAcentral's name for it is "long non-coding RNA (EGUI_LNC044761)". The record is from RNAcentral. Lineage: Eukaryota; Viridiplantae; Streptophyta; Magnoliopsida; Arecales; Arecaceae.
UUGAAAUUAAUGAUUAUGCACGAGGCAUAAACCACAUUAGGCUUGGUACAUUGAAUAUUUGGGCAAGUAAACACUUUUACACCCAUUCAUGUCAAACCCCUUCAACAUAAAAUCUAUGCACCUAGACUGGGACAAGUCUAGCAUCCACUUUCAUCUAUCACUAUAAAUACCAAGUAUAUUGGAUGCUGCACCCAAGUCUUUUCAUAAAAAUUUUUGUGAUAAACAUGUCUUUG